Molecule: ribosomal RNA, 205 nt
Filed under: Giardia duodenalis
Lineage: Eukaryota; Fornicata; Diplomonadida; Hexamitidae
Description: Giardia intestinalis partial small subunit ribosomal RNA
Source: RNAcentral
CAUCCGGUCGAUCCUGCCGGAGCGCGACGCUCUCCCCAAGGACGAAGCCAUGCAUGCCCGCUCACCCGGGACGCGGCGGACGGCUCAGGACAACGGUUGCACCCCCCGCGGCGGUCCCUGCUAGCCGGACACCGCUGGCAACCCGGCGCCAAGACGUGCGCGCAAGGGCGGGCGCCCGCGGGCGAGCAGCGUGACGCAGCGACGG